GGUGGGAUGGCCGAGUGGUCUAAGGCGUUGGAUUUAAGCAAUUUGACUUGCUUCCCAAUGGAGGAAACUCCGCGCGAGUUCGAACCUCGCUUCCACCA
This is a transfer RNA of 98 nucleotides. It matches the Rfam family "tRNA". From Rfam's summary of the family: Transfer RNA (tRNA) molecules are approximately 80 nucleotides in length. Their secondary structure includes four short double-helical elements and three loops (D, anti-codon, and T loops). The record is from Rfam.